RNAcentral lists this ribosomal RNA (509 nucleotides) under uncultured bacterium. Its description in RNAcentral is "bacterial SSU rRNA". It matches the Rfam family "Bacterial small subunit ribosomal RNA", at positions 341 to 847 of the family's 1533-position model. The record is from RNAcentral.
ACGGGAGGCAGCAGUAGGGAAUUUUCGGCAAUGGGGGAAACCCUGACCGAGCAACGCCGCGUGAAGGAAGAAGUAAUUCGUUAUGUAAACUUCUGUCAUAGAGGAAGAAGGUGGAUAUAGGGAAUGAUAUCCAAGUGACGGUACUCUAUAAGAAAGCCACGGCUAACUACGUGCCAGCAGCCGCGGUAAUACGUAGGUGGCGAGCGUUAUCCGGAAUUAUUGGGCGUAAAGAGGGAGCAGGCGGCACUAAGGGUCUGUGGUGAAAGAUCGAAGCUUAACUUCGGUAAGCCAUGGAAACCGUAGAGCUAGAGUGUGUGAGAGGAUCGUGGAAUUCCAUGUGUAGCGGUGAAAUGCGUAGAUAUAUGGAGGAACACCAGUGGCGAAGGCGACGAUCUGGCGCAUAACUGACGCUCAGUCCCGAAAGCGUGGGGAGCAAAUAGGAUUAGAUACCCUAGUAGUCCACGCCGUAAACGAUGAGUACUAAGUGUUGGGUGUCAAAGCUCAGUGCU